RNAcentral lists this long non-coding RNA (421 nucleotides) under Salmo salar (Atlantic salmon). RNAcentral's name for it is "lncRNA (ENSSSAG00000120543.1)". The record is from RNAcentral. Lineage: Eukaryota; Metazoa; Chordata; Actinopteri; Salmoniformes; Salmonidae.
GCGUGUGUGUGUUCUGCAGUAUAUCACAGCACAGCCAACAAGAACGUAUGCCCACUCACACACAGUGCAUCACGCUACAUACAACCAACAGGUAUGUACAGGACCGGCCUUCCCAUUACCCCGUCAUACACAGUGUAUCACGCUACAUACAACCAACAGGUAUGUACAGGACCGGCCUUCCCAUUACCCCGUCAUAUACAGUGUAUCACGCUACAUACAACCAACAGGUAUGUACAGGACCGGCCUUCCCAUUACCCCGUCAUAUACAGUGUAUCACGCUACAUACAACCAACAGGUAUGUACAGGACCGGCCUUCCCAUUACCCCGUCAUGUACAGUGUAUCACGCUACAUACAACCAACAGGUAUGUACAGGACCGGCCUUCCCAUUACCCCGUCAUACACAGUGUAUCACGCUACAUA